GUAUAAGGUUUAUAGGCACAAGGCCCAAUGAUACAUUCUGUUACAUACAAUGGGGUAUAUGAAAAACGUAGACCUGGAAAUGCAAGGAAAGCCAGCUAGUGCCAGCAAGUCCUCCCGACCGAGUUGCCUCGGAAAGUCAAUCCAAGUCUACAAGAGGUGCACAGGUGGAGAGAUGAGGAUGGUAGGUGUGCACAUGCCCCCGAGAGGGCCAGCGACAACCACACCAAGUUCAUUCAAUAAUGAUCCUUCCGCAGGUUCACCUACGGAAA
This 269-nucleotide unclassified non-coding RNA is filed under the name uncultured fungus. RNAcentral's name for it is "sequence contains ITS1". Lineage: Eukaryota; Fungi. The record is from RNAcentral.